This 319-nucleotide ribosomal RNA is filed under the name uncultured bacterium. RNAcentral's name for it is "bacterial SSU rRNA". It matches the Rfam family "Bacterial small subunit ribosomal RNA", at positions 202 to 507 of the family's 1533-position model. The record is from RNAcentral.
CGGGGGAUCUUCGGACCUCGCGCUAUUGGAGCGGCCGAUGUCGGAUUAGCUAGUAGGUGAGGUAAAGGCUCACCUAGGCGACGAUCCGUAGCUGGUCUGAGAGGAUGAUCAGCCACACUGGGACUGAGACACGGCCCAGACUCCUACGGGAGGCAGCAGUGGGGAAUUUUGGACAAUGGGCGCAAGCCUGAUCCAGCCAUGCCGCGUGAGUGAAGAAGGCCUUCGGGUUGUAAGGCUCUUUCAGGUGGAAAGAAAUAGCGCUGUUUAAUAGAUGGCGUUGAUGACGGUACCACCAGAAGAAGCACCGGCUAACUACGUG